RNAcentral lists this unclassified non-coding RNA (753 nucleotides) under Hevea brasiliensis (rubber tree). The record is from RNAcentral. Lineage: Eukaryota; Viridiplantae; Streptophyta; Magnoliopsida; Malpighiales; Euphorbiaceae.
CAGAAGUUACAUAGGCCGAUAGGCUUAUAUUCAUUAACUGAGCAAGGAUUCAUAAUUUGGGAAUUAAGACUAUAUUAGUCUUGUUAAGCUCCUUAGACAUACACCCAUUCACAAAAAAAGAUUUUACGGCUGAAUAAACAUCUGGGCCUAACAUAUCCCAGUAUUUUUGGUAAAACAUCUUGGAGAAACCACAGCUUUUGAACCCCACAAUUCAAAAACUGCUUGUUUGAUUUAUGUAUCAGAGACACCAACAAAGAGAUGUUCAUUGAGAUCAGAAGUAACCACAGGAUUGAUAUAGCCCAACACUUCAUCCACAUUGGAUAACUGAACCUUACUAAACACAUGCUGAAAAUGUUGCAUAAUUUCUAGUUGAAUAUCUACUAGGUUCUCAAUCCAACACCCAUCAUGCUUUUUCAGCUUGAGAAUAGAAUUUUUAGCCCUCCUUUGAGUGGCAGACAUGUGGAAAAACCGGGAGUUUCUGUCACCAUUUUUCAACUUUCUCCCCAUAAAAAUUUUCUUUAUUCCACCUGCUCAGCUCUGAUCUACAAUGCUUCAAUUUUUGCAACAUUGAAAACGUAGGAGAGCCAUGAACGUAAUUAUGCCAAGCAAUUUUUAUCACUCCAGGACACUGCGGAUGCUGCGUCCACUUUUCUUCAAACUUGAACAAAAACACUGAUUUGUUUUGAGGAGGAUCUAAGCACAAGACAAUUGGUCGGUGGCCAGAGCCCAUCAUGUCUUCAUGGUAAACUACUG